UAGGUGGUUACUGCAGGCAGCUGAGCUGGCACAGGAGGGAACCAAGGAUCCUGCCGUAGAAGACCUUGGUGGGAGUGCGUCAUUCUAUCUUCUGCCCAUGAUGCCCGGGCUGGGUGCCUCUGCUCGGUUCCAUGUUUGUUGAGCACCUCUCGUGGCUGGUGCUGAGGACACAAGUGCAUGAUACAGGAGCCACAGGUGAAACUGGGACCCAGAGAGGCCAACUGACAAGGCCCAAACUGGGCAUCUGGCUAACGGCAGAAUCAGAAGAAGUCAGCUCCCCCAAACAUUCAAGCCAGCGUCUUCCUACUCUGCUGAGUAGGAAGGACCAACCCAUAUCCCUGCCAGUGUGGGGCUUGAACUCACAACCCUGAGAUGAAGAGUCACAUGCUCCACCAACUGAGCCCGCCAGGUGCCGCUGGACUAGAUGUCGUUCCCUUC
This is a non-coding RNA of Callorhinus ursinus (northern fur seal), 438 nucleotides long. NCBI's taxonomy places the organism in Eukaryota, Metazoa, Chordata, Mammalia, Carnivora, Otariidae. The record is from RefSeq and is a predicted model, not a curated record.